RNAcentral lists this ribosomal RNA (310 nucleotides) under uncultured Pelagibacterales bacterium. RNAcentral describes it as "SSU rRNA". It matches the Rfam family "Bacterial small subunit ribosomal RNA", at positions 29 to 367 of the family's 1533-position model. The record is from RNAcentral. Lineage: Bacteria; Pseudomonadati; Pseudomonadota; Alphaproteobacteria; Candidatus Pelagibacterales.
ACGUACGCUGGCGGCACGCCUAACACAUGCAAGUCGAACGAAGUAGCAAUACUUAGUGGCAGACGGGUGAGUAACAUGUGGGUAUCUACCCUUUGGCCUGGAAUAACACGAGGAAACUUGUGCUAAUACCGGAUAAGUCUUUACGGAGAAAGCUUUAUGCACCAUUGGAUGAGCCCGCACUUGAUUAGUUUGUUGGUAGGGUAAAGCCUACCAAGGCGACGAUCUUUAGCUGGUCUGAGAGGAUGAUCAGCCACAUCGGGACUGAGACACGGCCCGAACUCCUACGGGAGGCAGCAGUGGGGAAUCUUGC